Molecule: non-coding RNA, 4955 nt
Organism: Delphinapterus leucas (beluga whale)
Lineage: Eukaryota; Metazoa; Chordata; Mammalia; Artiodactyla; Monodontidae
Source: RefSeq, a predicted model, not a curated record
AGGGGCAUCCAGUGGUCCCCAGGCUACCCCGCCCCCUCCGUGCCCUUGGACCAGCCCACAGUCACCAACCACACACCCAGGCGGACUUUCCGGCCCCCAAACCCCUGAGCAAAGCGCCUUGGAUGCUGCCUCCGGCCGCAGACGCAGGUGACGUAAAACCAGGAGUCUCCCUCUUCCUCCUCAAAUCCUGUCGCCUCAGACCCCGUGGAAACCUCUGACCAGACGCGGCCCUCACACGCCUGCUCUUGAGAGGUCCAGCGCCCCUGCUGGGGGCCUCCAUUUCUUCCGCUGAAGGAUGAAGCAGUGGGGUGAGAUCGCUUCUAAGGGCCCAGGAGGAGAGGGUCGCCGUCUGAGCCCAGAGCUGGGCGAGCCUCCAGCAGCGGCCCACUGGGCCUGCCCUGUCCCUGGUUCUGUCCUGGGAGCAGCAGGAAGCUGUGGCUCCGCGGAAGUAAAAGAUGAAACAAAGCCCAUCAGGAGCUGGCCCUCCGGGGAAGGCGGCCACCCUCGCACUCCUGAAGGCUCUCCUCACAAUCGCAGCCCUGCUGGAAAUCGGCUCAUCUUCCACAGGCUCCGUUCUCUUUCCCUCCCCACAGAGCACCUCCCGUCAAGAGCUUAGCAUCUUCUGCCCAUCCCCACCUGCUACCCUUCCUUUCUAGCAAUGAGCCACCCUCACGUUUUUAUUCUGUUUAAAAGAAUCCCAAAACGCACCAAAUUGCACCCGAUCCUGUGCCCGCUCUGCAUGCCUCGGUUUCUGCCUCCACCACCCUCCAAGAAUUUCUCUGUUCCCCUGGCCUCACUGCCCUAUUCAAGGCCAACAAAAACUAGGUGCAGAAAAAAAUCAAUCAAACCCCGAAAUGCAGGACACGGAGAAAGGAGAACCUCAGGAUCCAGGUCCAACCCCUGGCUCAGCACAGGAAUCCUGUCUGUCAUAACCCUGCCCCAGCCUCUGCUUGAAUCCCCCCGUGGACGGGAAGCUCAUACCGCCCAACUGCUGGACAAUUCCUUCUAUUACUGGGCAGCUCUAACAGAAAGUCCCACCUACUUCCCUGUGACUUCUACAGACAAGUCUGUCCCCUUGAGUCACAGUGAAUGAAACCUUUCUUCUGCACAUUAUCCAUCAGAAAAGAGCCCAUGGGUCCCCCAUCUUCUCUUCUCCAGAAGCCUCUUAAACUACCUGCAUAGCUAGGUUCCUGCAAUACUAAGAAAACAGAACCGCAUUUGAAUUAGAAUGAGGCCACGGCCACAGUUACUCUGGCUACAAUGCCAAUGAAAAUGUGUUUUAUUUUGCUUUAAUAGUUUUAAAAAUAAUACCUUGACUAUUUUAAUAUCAGUCAUCUUGAAAAGCAGUGUGAUACUACUCCCCUUCCUGGCUUAAUAAAAAAGUUGCAUAGUUCACAAUUUUAUACCUAUUAAAUAAACAAAGAUUGAAAAUAGUGGUGCUACCCAGUAGGGGACCCCCCUGAACUCUCUCGUAUGGCUGGUGGCAAUAUAAAUUAACACCAGCCUCUCAGGAAACAACCUGUCAGCCUGUUGUUUCGAGCGCCAUAAAAACAUUCAUACCCUUCGACCCAAUAAUCCCAGUCCUGGGAGUUUAUCCUAAGAAACUAGUUUUUAAAAAAGGAAGGAAGGGGGGAAGGUUACAUGCAUUAAGGUAUUUAUUCAAGAGCUAUUGAAGAGUCAGCAGAAGGAGACUCAGGAAAGUCUGAUUUCAUCCAGCGCGCACCAUGCAGCCAUAAUCAGUGAAAGCUCUGAAGACCAGUCUGCAACUUGAGAAUCUCCUCAAGAUAAGAUGGUGGAGACUGCACCCACUGUGUCCUGUGGCAUGUCCUCGGGAACACAGGGCAGGACAGCCAUGCCAUGCUCUGCGUCCUCUAGCCGUCUGUUCAGAUGCUACAGGCAGGGGUCUGCAGAGGGACAGCACAUGGCGUGCGCAUGCAGAACCCAUGCAAGAGGACGGGAAGAGGGCGGCAGCCACCCUCGGGGCAUGCACCCCGCCUCAGAGAGGGCCAGGCAGCAGAUGGGAUCACCGGCAUUCCCGCUCUGGGACAAGCAGUACCCAAGGUGAUCGUGGCGUAAACGACUCCUUCAGGCACCUGUGCCCAUCUGGGGACUCCACUGGGGGGAAAUUUGCCAGAAUGAUCUGUGUGGGAUCCAGAAGAACAGACAAAGGCAAGAGGAAGAGAGAGAAGAUGAAGAGAGCGGCAGUCCCAGAUGCAGAGACACAAAGAGAUGUGGCGACGCGGCUGCCCUCCCACCAGAAGUUAGUGCGUUCCCAUCGGAGAUGUGGGCUUGUCAGGUGUACCCCAGCCUGGCCAAGGACGUCAUUUCCCAGCCCCUUCCCAUCCAGAGAUGUGACUUCCUGCCACCAAUGGAAUGUGGAUAGAAGCACUAGGUGUCACUCUGCCUGGUGCCUUUAAGGAGCACAUAGAGGUUCUCCGCCCUUUCUUUGUGGUGGAUUCUGUGGCCUCAGAAGGUGACCGAGCCCACGCUGGACGGAGCCUGCUGACCAGUAAGGCCCAGCUGAACUACUCCGUGAGUGAGGAUCAGAUUUGCACUGGGUUACUCUAAGCUGCAAGAGGGGUUGUUUGUUACAGCAGCUGCCGUUACUGAUGUCUACUGUCUCUAGCAGGAGACACCAGCAAUGCAGGAGCUCUACCUAAUAGCUCCUGCACAGGCCGGCAGGGCACUUACUAAACUUGUUCAGAGAGAGGACCUGACCCAGGGAAGCAGUGAGCGGACUGCUGAUAAAGCAGGCCAAGAGGCCAAGCAACUGGUCUUUUUCAGGAAGUCAGCAAAAUCGCUGUUGGCCAGAGAAGUAGAGCAAGGGGCGGGAGUCCGAUGGUCAUUUCUGCUGUUGUGACCUGUGCAUCCCACUGGUCAAACAGGUGUGGGGGACAGCAGGCAGGAAUCAGGGGCAGGCCAGCUUAUGAUGCAGGGGAGGCCCCCUCUUCGUGGUAAGUAUGACCAGCUCCCCACAAGUCAUCCUCCGUCCUCGAGCCGGCAGGGGACAAAAGGCACCUGGGCUUCUCCCCACCCUCCUUGCUGACCUUGUGAUGACCCCCUGGUUCUGGAUAAAACCAAUAUGAACUCCCAGUCGAGAGACAAACACCGGGAUCCUUCUGACUGCCUGUUUGUGUCGAGAUGAAGUGUCUGCCCCACCAACAGGCCCCCGGGAGCGUCUGGGAGGCAGGCCCCGGCUGGCACAGGCCACACCCGAGAGAGAUGGGCUUCAGACACAUGGAGGUGCUCCCGGGGGUGAGUCACUGCUCCCACCUUCCAGACGCACCCAGACAGCCCCACCGCGCUCUCAGCUCCAGUCUGAAAUCACAGUCCAGCCGGUGACUUGGCAACACCUCACAAGCUAAGUGAUGUCUGUCCACAAAGCCAGCCUCUUAGAAUAAAAUUCCUUCGGGCCAAAGAAGCCCUCACCUCCCACACAGUUCCCGGGACCACAGACAGUAGGUAAAGUGUGAAGAAAGAGGACAAGAAUCCCAUGUGGCUCCAAGUGACUGGUCCCAUCUCAUCCCAGGGCCAGUUCUUUGUGACACCAACAAGGUCCCCCCCUUCGGCCAAGUUCAUUCCCACCACCAGGGAUCCUUACCACUGACAUCUGCAAGUUGCUUUAUGCUUUCAAAGACCUUUCACUUACAAAGGAAGGAAAGAGAAGGAGGUAAGAAAGGGAGAGUGAGGGGACCAGAGUCCGGCUACCUGGGAGAAUGGGGUCACAACCAUCUCUUUCUUCCAGAACCUUCAAGGCCUUUCUGUGUUAUAGAAUCCCCACAACGGGAGCAUUUCUAUUUCUGAUCCAACCUCAUCAGGCUGAGAACCACUGGCCGAGGACAGAUGGCUCCAGCGUGAGCCCUGCCCCCAUAGCAAAGGCCAUCUACCUAAGUUAGGUCAGCCACAAACAACCCUCCCCUCCAAAGGCUGGAGAAAAGUCUAUUCAGAGAAAAGCCGAAGUCGUUACCAAGGCCUACAGCUGAUUUCUGUGUCCCCAUCUCCCAUCUCUCUCCCCCAACCCCACCUGCUCCUGCCACAAUGGCCUCCAAACAUGCCAAGGGCUCUCCUGCCUCAGGGCCUUUGCACGUACUGUGCUCUCUGUUUAGAAAGUUCUUCCUGCAGUUAUCAGCCCCACCCAGUUCCCACUUCAUUUGGGAAUCUGCUCAAGGUCAUGCUAUCAGAGAGGCCCUCCCUAAUCUAAAAUAAAAUCCUUCUCCUGCCCCAACCCAGCCCCUGCAGCUUUCCAUCCUGACCUGACACAUCCUAUGUUUAUUUGCUGUCUGUCUUCCCUCUCAGAAUCUAAGUGCCGUGACCACUGAACCCCACUGAAUCCUGCGUGCUGCUGAGCUCCUGAUUCCUAGAAGCAUGCUGGGUACAUGGUGGGAGCCCAGUGACUAUUAGUCCAGCGAAAGAACCUGGGAACUGGGCUCUGGCUCAGCCUGACCACAUUUCCAUUGCUUACGGGGCCUUGUGCCUCUCGGCCAACACACCUCUUCUUUGUCACAUUUCUGUGCUGAAUCAAGCAACAUCCAGGCAGGACCACAGAAAGCAUCAGACACAGUAAACCAGCUCCUUGUGGACCACCCCAAGCCCCUCCUUGCAGGUGGGUUGGGUCUGCUGUAGGUCUCAGCUCCCCAGCAGACCAGAGGCCAAAUGCCCUGUGGCCAGUUCUCAAUUCGGGCCAUGCUCUCUAGUAAGAGCCACCCAGGCUGCCCUGUGUUUCUAGCCAGGGUAAGUGUGCCGGUCCCAACCAGGGGAGUUGGCACUGGCAUCCGUGCAGGAAGUGAUUGGACCCCCUCCAAGCCCCGUCCCCAGGAUGUACCAUUGAGGGAUGUGUCAUAUGGUUCAGCCUCUUCAUAGUAACCCUCUGGAGACUCGAUCUUUGGGGUGGAGAGCUGUUUCCGUUCUGGAAUCUGUGGUAUGAACAAAUAAAACAAACAUUUUCAGAUACGAUA